GGAGUUAGCCGGUGCUUCUUCUGUGAGUGAUGUCCUUCCUGCCGGUUAUUGACCCGCAGGCCUUCUUCCUCACUGAAAGUGCUUUACAACCCGAAGGCCUUCUUCACACACGCGGCAUGGCUGGAUCAGGGUUGCCCCCAUUGUCCAAUAUUCCCCACUGCUGCCUCCCGUAGGAGUCUGGGCCGUGUCUCAGUCCCAGUGUGGCUGAUCAUCCUCUCAGACCAGCUACGGAUCGUCGCCUUGGUGAGCCGUUACCUCACCAACCAGCUAAUCCGACAUAGGCUCAUCCGAUAGCGCGAGGCCCGAAGGUCCCCCGCUUUCCCCCGUAGGGCGUAUGCGGUAUUAGCCUGGGUUUCCCCAGGUUAUCCCCCACUACCGGGCAGAUUCCCUAUGCAUUACUCACCCGUCCGCCGCUCGCCACCAGGGAGCAAGCUCCCCGUGCUGCCGCUCGACUUGCAUGUGUUAGGCCUGCCGCCAGCGUUCAAUCUGAGCCAGAAUCAAAACUCUGA
This 509-nucleotide ribosomal RNA is filed under the name uncultured bacterium. RNAcentral's name for it is "partial 16S ribosomal RNA". The record is from RNAcentral.